Agrilus planipennis (emerald ash borer) is the source of this 802-nucleotide long non-coding RNA. RefSeq lists it as uncharacterized. The transcript has 4 exons. The record is from RefSeq and is a predicted model, not a curated record. NCBI's taxonomy places the organism in Eukaryota, Metazoa, Arthropoda, Insecta, Coleoptera, Buprestidae.
GUUUUCUCAUGUUCUGUUUUACAGAUUAGCCUGUUAUUGAAAGCAUAUUGAAGUUUCCUUGGAUAUUACUGAGUGUCCCCAAAUGGAUCGUGUACGGUGAUGUGUUCUUACUACACUUCGUUUACCCUUGUCGUCUUCACAUGGAAAAAUUUUCUACAUAAAUAAUAAUAAGUAAAUAGAUUGACUGAUGAAUGAGAGAAUAUUGGUUUAUUUGGGCCUUGCUGUAUCAACCAAUUGUCUGCAAUGGUAUUCGUUUUCCUGGACUUGAUAUACUGUUGACAUUUUCACCUUGCAUUUGGAAAUUUAUUUAUUUAUUCACAUAUUUCAACUUUGGAACGUGACAUUCUGCAAUUAAUUAAGAUUAGCCUGUUAUUGAAAGAAUAUUGAAGUUUCCUUGGAUAUUACUGAGUGUCCCCAAAUGGAUCGUGUACGGUGAUGUGUUCUUACUGCACUUCGUUUACCCUCGUCUUCACAUGGAAAAAUUUUCUACAUAUUUAAGAUCGUCCAACAGAUGAGAGAAAAUUGAAGUUCAGGUUGAUCAUAUUGAAGCAACCAAUAACUGGUGUUGUCUUUCUUGGACUGUAUUCUGGAUUUGCUGUUUUCAUCUUCACCUUGCAACAUUAUGCAGUUAAUUUUCAACAGAUAAGUGAGAACAAGAGGAGAUUUUCUUCAAUUCCACUAAAAGAGCAAGUUUCCUUCUUUGGCAUUUUCACUGCAUUUGGUUUGCUUUGCUAUUCACACCUGCAAACUUUGGAAUGUUACAAUCUACAGUUAAUUAAGGUGAGAAUACUUGAUAUAAUUA